RNAcentral lists this ribosomal RNA (323 nucleotides) under uncultured eukaryote. RNAcentral's name for it is "partial 18S ribosomal RNA". It matches the Rfam family "Eukaryotic small subunit ribosomal RNA", at positions 1470 to 1796 of the family's 1831-position model. The record is from RNAcentral.
CCCUUAGAUGUUCUGGCCGCACGCGCGCUACACUGAUGCAUUCAACGAGUUUCUUCCUGGUCCGAGAGGAAUGGGUAACCUUUUGAAAGUGCAUCGUGAUAGGGAUAGACUAUUGCAAUUAUUGGUCUUCAACGAGGAAUUCCUAGUAGACGUAGUUCAUCAGACUGCAUCGAUUACGUCCCUGCCCUUUGUACACACCGCCCGUCGCUCCUACCGAUUGAAUGCUCAGGUGAGCCAUUCGGACUUUCAUCAUGCUGGUUUCCAGUUUUGAUGAAGGAAAGUCUUGCGAACCUUAUCAUUUAGAGGAAGGAGAAGUCGUAACA